UACGUAGGGGGCAAGCGUUGUCCGGAAUCAUUGGGCGUAAAGCGCGUGCAGGCGGUUCGGUAAGUCUGCUGUGAAAGUCCAGGGCUCAACCCUGGGAUGCCGGUGGAUACUGUCGGACUAGAGUACGGAAGAGGCGAGUGGAAUUCCCGGUGUAGCGGUGAAAUGCGCAGAUAUCAGGAGGAACACCGAUGGCGAAGGCAGGUCUCUGGGCAUUAACUGACGCUGAGGAGCGAAAGCAUGGGGAGCGAACAGG
RNAcentral lists this ribosomal RNA (253 nucleotides) under uncultured bacterium. RNAcentral describes it as "partial 16S ribosomal RNA". It matches the Rfam family "Bacterial small subunit ribosomal RNA", at positions 524 to 776 of the family's 1533-position model. The record is from RNAcentral.